GGCAAAACGUGCAAGAGAAGCCCGCAGGUCUGCCAAUGAAAGAUUGGUGGACUUCAUCACGAAGCUGAAGGGGUCGGACAAACGGCUACUGGAAAUAAUCACAGGUGAAGGCAGCUCCAAGUGACUGGUGAAUUUCAGGUCUGCGAAACCAGACAGGGUCUUCACCUACCUGGAAGAAGACGACCAAAUUGAUGAAGUUUUUAAGCACAUCAACUCGGUCCUCAAAGGAGCCACAAAAUGUGCACCUUAUUUCCCAACAACAGAGUUCCAGAGAGUCCGCUUCAUGUUGGAUGUGCUGAUGCCUGAGGCCAUUGUCUACGCUCUUGUGGCAGUGCACAACCUCUCUCUAGCUGAGGCAAAGAGAAGAUUUAACGCGGGACCAUUGUAUGAUGAAAGUGAAGUGCAAGAAUUUAAUGAUAUUAUCAAGAUGCAGAAGAGGCAGUAGAUCGAGGCCGAGCAUUAAUAUUUUCAUUUCUAUUUUAUUUUAUUUUUACUUUAUUUUGUUUUUGUUUUGAUGUUUUUGUUUAUUAUUAUGUAAAACCUCAAUCACAUUCUGUAAAAUGCUGAA
Long non-coding RNA from Lampris incognitus (smalleye Pacific opah), 568 nucleotides. RefSeq lists it as uncharacterized. Lineage: Eukaryota; Metazoa; Chordata; Actinopteri; Lampriformes; Lampridae. The record is from RefSeq and is a predicted model, not a curated record. The transcript is spliced from 4 exons.